UACGUAGGUGACCAGCGUUGUCCGGAAUUACUGGGCGUAAAGAGCUCGUAGGUGGUUUGUCGCGUUGUUCGUGAAAACUCACAGCUCAACUGUGGGCGUGCGGGCGAUACGGGCAGACUGGAGUACUGCAGGGGAGACUGGAAUUCCUGGUGUAGCGGUGGAAUGCGCAGAUAUCAGGAGGAACACCGGUGGCGAAGGCGGGUCUCUGGGCCGACAUUGACGCUGAGGAGCGAAAGCGUGGGGAGCGAACAGG
RNAcentral lists this ribosomal RNA (253 nucleotides) under uncultured bacterium. RNAcentral describes it as "partial 16S ribosomal RNA". It matches the Rfam family "Bacterial small subunit ribosomal RNA", at positions 524 to 776 of the family's 1533-position model. The record is from RNAcentral.